Long non-coding RNA from Rhea pennata, 689 nucleotides. RefSeq lists it as uncharacterized. The record is from RefSeq and is a predicted model, not a curated record. The transcript is spliced from 3 exons. NCBI's taxonomy places the organism in Eukaryota, Metazoa, Chordata, Aves, Rheiformes, Rheidae.
CCGGGGUGCACACGCGAGCAGCGCGGGGCGGCGGCGCCGUCCCUGCCCGUCCUGGCUCCCCGAGCGGGGAGCCUCGCUGUCCGCCUUCGUACGCGUACGGCGAAACGCUGGCAUGUUAGCGGGACCGGAGGAGGAGACUGUUCAUACACGUAUGGUGAAACGGUGGCAUGUUAGCAGGACCAGAGGAGGAGACUGAUUCCUUUCUCAUCUGUGAAGCAAACAAGAGAAAGAGCAUUUUCUGUGCACUUUGACACCACGAGAAAGGCUCCCUGCUGGCAGAAGUUCAGGGCUCUCCUGUGACAUGGCUACUCAGCUGCGAGCCUCACCUCUCCUGCCCAGCCCCGCACUGGCCUGGCCUUGCCUGGUGCUGCAGGGGGUGCGCGAGCAGCACCGGCACACUGAAACGGGCGUCCUACUCCACUGCAAAUGGCCUCGGGUCCUCAACCAGCCUCCUAGCACCGCCAGAGACUGACUACCCACAAGCACAAACCAAACCAGGCACCAUGACACAAAUACCCCUGAUAAACUGUCAGACCUUGGAAACAUUUCCCCAGGAGUAUCUAAAUACCUUUGCUGAGUAUCCUGGCUCUCUUCUGCCUUAGUUUUUCUCUAUAACUCUUCUCAUUCCUCUUCUUGUUUGUCGUCUGGAUUUUUGAUCUUGUUUUGUUUCUCCACUAGCUUCUCUCAUC